UAUAAUUUUUAACUCUUUAUUUUAUUUAAAUUUUUUUUGUGAUUGAUAUUUUUGUUUUUAUUAGAUGAUAAAUCAUGAAUAGUACUUUACGUAUGACUAAUUUUUUUCUAAUUUUCUGAAAUUUUUUAAAUAAAACGGAUGGUCAAACGUUAGACAUGAAAACCGGAG
Molecule: microRNA precursor, 168 nt
Filed under: Oryza brachyantha (malo sina)
Lineage: Eukaryota; Viridiplantae; Streptophyta; Magnoliopsida; Poales; Poaceae
Description: MIR812 microRNA precursor family
Rfam family: MIR812 microRNA precursor family
Source: Rfam by way of RNAcentral